This 240-nucleotide ribosomal RNA is filed under the name uncultured bacterium. Its description in RNAcentral is "partial 16S ribosomal RNA". It matches the Rfam family "Bacterial small subunit ribosomal RNA", at positions 98 to 334 of the family's 1533-position model. The record is from RNAcentral.
UCGGACGGGGGAGUAACGCGUGGGAAACCUAGCCCUCGUACCGGGGGAUAACAACUUAGAAAUAAGGUGCUAAUACCGCAUAAGCGCACAGCUUCACAUGAGGCAGUGUGAAAAACUCCGGUGGUACAGGAUGGUCCCGCGUCUGAUUAGCCAGUUGGCAGGGUAACGGCCUACCAAAGCGACGAUCAGUAGCCGGCCUGAGAGGGUGAACGGCCACAUUGGGACUGAGACACGGCCCAA